This 346-nucleotide ribosomal RNA is filed under the name uncultured Chaetomium. Its description in RNAcentral is "SSU rRNA". It matches the Rfam family "Eukaryotic small subunit ribosomal RNA", at positions 20 to 370 of the family's 1831-position model. Lineage: Eukaryota; Fungi; Ascomycota; Sordariomycetes; Sordariales; Chaetomiaceae. The record is from RNAcentral.
GUAGUCAUAUGCUUGUCUCAAAGAUUAAGCCAUGCAUGUCUAAGUAUAAGCAAUUAUACCGCGAAACUGCGAAUGGCUCAUUAAAUCAGUUAUCGUUUAUUUGAUAGUACCUUACUACAUGGAUAACCGUGGUAAUUCUAGAGCUAAUACAUGCUAAAAAUCCCGACUUCGGAAGGGAUGUAUUUAUUAGAUUAAAAACCAAUGCCCUUCGGGGCUCUCUGGUGAUUCAUAAUAACUUCUCGAAUCGCACGGCCUUGCGCCGGCGAUGGUUCGUUCAAAUUUCUGCCCUAUCAACUUUCGACGGCUGGGUCUUGGCCAGCCGUGGUGACAACGGGUAACGGGGAAU